UACAGAGGGGGCAAGCGUUGUUCGGAAUUACUGGGCGUAAAGGGCGCGUAGGCGGCCUUCUAAGUCAGACGUGAAAUCCCCAGGCUCAACCUGGGAACUGCGUCUGAUACUGGAUGGCUUGAAUCCGGGAGAGGGAUGCAGAAUUCCAGGUGUAGCGGUGAAAUGCGUAGAUAUCUGGAGGAACACCGAUGGCGAAGGCAGCCUUCUGGGCCAACACUGACGCUCAUGCACGAAAGCGUGGGGAGCAAACAGG
Molecule: ribosomal RNA, 253 nt
Filed under: uncultured bacterium
Lineage: Bacteria
Description: partial 16S ribosomal RNA
Rfam family: Bacterial small subunit ribosomal RNA
Source: RNAcentral